GAGUUUGAUCAUGGCUCAGAUUGAACGCUGGCGGCAUGCUUUACACAUGCAAGUCGAACGGAUCUAGGGGCUUGCUCCUAGGUUAGUGGCGAACGGGUGAGUAAUGCAUCGGAACGUACCGUGUAGUGGGGGAUAACCCGGCGAAAGUCGGAUUAAUACCGCAUACGAUCUACGGAUGAAAGCGGGGGACCUUAGGGCCUCGCGCUAUACGAGCGGCCGAUGUCGGAUUAGCUAGUUGGUGAGGUAAAGGCUCACCAAGGCGACGAUCCGUAGCGGGUCUGAGAGGAUGAUCCCGCCACACUGGGACUGAGACACGGCCCAGACUCCUACGGGAGGCAGCAGUGGGGAAUUUUGGACAAUGGACGCAAGCUGAUCCAGCCAUGCCGCGUGAGUGGAAGAA
This 400-nucleotide ribosomal RNA is filed under the name uncultured beta proteobacterium. RNAcentral describes it as "bacterial SSU rRNA". It matches the Rfam family "Bacterial small subunit ribosomal RNA", at positions 9 to 412 of the family's 1533-position model. Lineage: Bacteria; Pseudomonadati; Pseudomonadota; Betaproteobacteria. The record is from RNAcentral.